AUGAUGAUGUCACUGACUCUACUGAUGGGCACUCUGGGGCUCCUUGUUCAGGGUUCAUCAGGACAAAUCAUCCUGACUCAGUCUCCUGGAUCUCAGUCUGUUGCUCCAGGACAGACUGUCACCAUCAGAUGUAAAGCCAGUUCAAUUGUUGGUAGCAGGCUCCACUGGUACCUUCAGAAAUCUGGAGAAGCUCCUAAACUCCUGAUUUAUUUGGUUAAAUCCCGUAAGUCUAUAAUUUCAAAUCGUUUUAGUGGAAGUUUUAUUACAGAAUACUAUGACUUCACUCUGACCAUCAGUGGAGUUCAGGCUGAAGAUUCAGGAGUUUACUACUGUCAGCAGAAUUGGAAGACACCGUUCACACAGUGA
Molecule: non-coding RNA, 366 nt
Organism: Scomber japonicus (chub mackerel)
Lineage: Eukaryota; Metazoa; Chordata; Actinopteri; Scombriformes; Scombridae
Source: the annotation of a RefSeq genome assembly